AUUGAACGCUGGCGGCAUGCCUUACACAUGCAAGUCGAACGGCAGCACGGGAGCAAUCCUGGUGGCGAGUGGCGAACGGGUGGGUAAAGUAUCGGAACGUGCCCAGUCGUGGGGGAUAACGUAGCGAAAGUUACGCUAAUACCGCAUACGAUCUAUGGAUGAAAGCGGGGGAUCGCAAGACCUCGCGCGAUUGGAGCGGCCGAUAUCAGAUUAGGUAGUUGGUGGGGUAAAGGCUCACCAAGCCGACGAUCCGUAGCUGGUCUGAGAGGACGACCAGCCACACUGGGACUGAGACACGGCCCAGACUCCUACGGGAGGCAGCAGUGGGGAAUUUUGGACAAUGGGCGAAAGCCUGAUCCAGCCAUGCCACGUGCAGGAUGAAGGCCUUCGGGUUGUAAACUGCUUUUGUACGGAACGAAAAGGUUUGGCCUAAUAAGCUGAGCUCAUGACGGUACCGUAAGAAUAAGCACCGGCUAACUACGUGCCAGCCGCCGCCGUAA
Molecule: ribosomal RNA, 500 nt
Filed under: uncultured bacterium
Lineage: Bacteria
Description: partial 16S ribosomal RNA
Rfam family: Bacterial small subunit ribosomal RNA
Source: RNAcentral